GUUUGGCAACCUUGAACCCCAUAGAUCUCUCUCUUCCUUAUCGUUCUUUCUUUCGCGUAGACCUGCAUCUCCUCUUUCUUUCCCGUAGACCUCUCUUUUCCCAUAGUCCUGCAUCUCCUCUUUCUUUCUUGUAGACCUCUCUCUUCCCUCUCGCUCAUCUCUCCCUCUCUCUUUCCCGUAGACCUCUCUCUCCUCUUAACAACCUUGAACCCCAAAUCUUGAACCCAUACUUGUCUUUCCUCUUCACAAUCUCAAAUCCAACCACCACCACUACUCUGUCGGUUGUCUCUCUCUCUCAUUCUAAACGAUGGGCAGCCACGCGAAUCUCAAAGCUGACGCGAAUCAAGUCCCAAAAUCAAGGUAAAAUUCGUCUCCAGGUUUGAUCCUCCACUUCCAACCAUUGGCGGAAGACUAUUUGUUUCUUUUUCCGUCUGCCAUACCGGAUUGUUGCCGGAUUUCCCACGAAUUUUCAGGCCACUUUGGGCACGGCCUCUCUGCAAAUCUAAACUGAGUGUAUAGAUAUCGCAGUUUUUCUUCCAGAUCGACAACAGGAAAGGUCAACGCCCUGAGGGAGGAAGUGACAACCCUAAAAGGUCAGCUUGCAACCCAGGACGAGCAGAUAAAGGCCCAGAGCGAACAGAUGAGGGCCCAAAACGAGCAGAUGAGGGCCCAGUACGAGCAAAUGAGAGCCCAGGGUGACCAGAUGAGUAUAAUUGUACGGACCUUAGUGAUCUCCAGUCUCCAAAUCCCCAUGGCAGCACCUGAUCUUGCUCCACAUUCGACCUUCCAGCCACUUCGCCCAGCCGAUAUGCAAUAGUCUGAUGUAUCAAACCUAGAAGACUACUUAUUGUAGUUUUUUCUUUUUUUGUUCGGACAUCUUGUAUGUACAUUUUCAUAUAGUUUAUAAUUAAAUACUUUUUCUUGGUUUA
Long non-coding RNA from Pyrus x bretschneideri (Chinese white pear), 929 nucleotides. RefSeq lists it as uncharacterized. Lineage: Eukaryota; Viridiplantae; Streptophyta; Magnoliopsida; Rosales; Rosaceae. The record is from RefSeq and is a predicted model, not a curated record. The transcript is spliced from 3 exons.